RNAcentral lists this ribosomal RNA (253 nucleotides) under uncultured bacterium. Its description in RNAcentral is "partial 16S ribosomal RNA". It matches the Rfam family "Bacterial small subunit ribosomal RNA", at positions 524 to 776 of the family's 1533-position model. The record is from RNAcentral.
UACGUAGGGGGCAAGCGUUAUCCGGAAUGAUUGGGCGUAAAGCGUCCGCAGGUGGCUAUGUAAGUCUGCUGUUAAAGAGUGAGGCUCAACCUCAUAAGAGCAGUGGAAACUACAUAGCUAGAGUGCGUUCGGGGCAGAGGGAAUUCCUGGUGUAGCGGUGAAAUGCGUAGAUAUCAGGAAGAACACCGGUGGCGAAAGCGCUCUGCUAGGCCGCAACUGACACUGAGGGACGAAAGCUAGGGGAGCGAAUGGG